Molecule: ribosomal RNA, 445 nt
Filed under: uncultured bacterium
Lineage: Bacteria
Description: partial 16S ribosomal RNA
Rfam family: Bacterial small subunit ribosomal RNA
Source: RNAcentral
GUGAGGAAUAUUGCGCAAUGGAGGCAACUCUGACGCAGCCAUGCCGCGUGCAGGAAGAAGGCGCUACGCGUUGUAAACUGCUUUUAACCGGGAAGAAACCCCAGGACGUGUCCUGGGUUGACGGUACCGGAGGAAUAAGCACCGGCUAACUUCGUGCCAGCAGCCGCGGUAAUACGAAGGGUGCAAGCGUUAUCCGGAUGCAUUGGGUUUAAAGGGUGCGUAGGCGGAGCGUUAAGUUAGUGGUGAAAUCCUGCAGCUUAACUGUAGACUUGCCAUUGAUACUGGCGCUCUUGAGUGCGCUUGAAGUGGGCGGAAUGUGCCGUGUAGCGGUGAAAUGCUUAGAUAUGGCACAGAACACCAAUUGCGAAGGCAGCUCACUAAGGCGAUACUGACGCUGAGGCACGAAAGCGUGGGGAUCGAACAGGAUUAGAAACCCUGGUAGUCC